ACGCACGCUGGCGGCGUGCUUCACACAUGCCAGUCGCACGGAAAGGCCCUGCUUUUGUGGGGUGCUCGAGUGGCGAACGGGUGAGUAACACGUGAGUAACCUGCCCUUGACUUUGGGAUAACUUCAGGAAACUGGGGCUAAUACCGGAUAGGAGCUCCUGCUGCAUGGUGGGGGUUGGAAAGUUUCGGCGGUUGGGGAUGGACUCGCGACUUAUCAGCUUGUUGGUGGGGUAGUGGCUUACCAAGGCUUUGACGGGUAGCCGGCCUGAGAGGGUGACCGGCCACAUUGGGACUGAGAUACGGCCCAGACUCCUACGGGAGGCAGCAGUGGGGAAUAUUGCACAAUGGGCGGAAGCCUGAUGCAGCAACGCCGCGUGCGGGAUGACGGCCUUCGGGUUGUAAACCGCUUUCGCCUGUGACGAAGCGUGAGUGACGGUAAUGGGUAAAGAAGCACCGGCUAACUACGUG
Molecule: ribosomal RNA, 467 nt
Filed under: uncultured bacterium
Lineage: Bacteria
Description: partial 16S ribosomal RNA
Rfam family: Bacterial small subunit ribosomal RNA
Source: RNAcentral